AGUGAUGAUGUAUGCUGGCGUGCCGAUAUGCGUUGGUAUACAGAGCUUUCGGGAGGGGUUUGUGCAGUGUAACCUCAAAUCGGUGUAGGCUGAAAGCUGAAAGAAAAUGCACAA
This 114-nucleotide small RNA is filed under the name human gut metagenome. Its description in RNAcentral is "drum RNA". It matches the Rfam family "drum RNA". From Rfam's summary of the family: Firmicutes, Bacteroidetes (1 example), Proteobacteria (2 examples), Spirochaetes (2 examples). Terminator (Clostridia) The record is from RNAcentral.